Molecule: small nuclear RNA, 105 nt
Organism: Sabethes cyaneus
Lineage: Eukaryota; Metazoa; Arthropoda; Insecta; Diptera; Culicidae
Source: RefSeq, a predicted model, not a curated record
AUCCUAGCUUCGGGUGGACAUAUACUAAAAUUGGAACGAGACAGAGAAGUAUGGCCCCUGUGCAAGGAUAUGACACACAAAAAAGUGCAAGUGCUUUUAAAAUUU